CAAACUGGAGAUGGCGACCGGCGCACGGGUGAGUAACACGUAUCCAACCUGCCGAUAACUCGGGGAUAGCCUUUCGGAAGAAAGAUUAAUACCCGAUGGCAUAAUAGAACCGCAUGGUUUGAUUAUUAAAGAAUUUCGGUUAUCGAUGGGGAUGCGUUCCAUUAGGCAGUUGGUGGGGUAACGGCCCACCAAACCUUCGAUGGAUAGGGGUUCUGAGAGGAAGGUCCCCCACAUUGGAACUGAGACACGGUCCAAACUCCUACGGGAGGCAGCAUG
Molecule: ribosomal RNA, 276 nt
Filed under: uncultured bacterium
Lineage: Bacteria
Description: partial 16S ribosomal RNA
Rfam family: Bacterial small subunit ribosomal RNA
Source: RNAcentral